RNAcentral lists this ribosomal RNA (468 nucleotides) under uncultured bacterium. Its description in RNAcentral is "partial 16S ribosomal RNA". It matches the Rfam family "Bacterial small subunit ribosomal RNA", at positions 28 to 507 of the family's 1533-position model. The record is from RNAcentral.
GACGAACGCUGGCGGCGUGCUUAACACAUGCAAGUCGAACGGAAAGGCCCUGCUUUUGUGGGGUGCUCGAGUGGCGAACGGGUGAGUAACACGUGAGUAACCUGCCCUUGACUUUGUGAUAACUCUAGGAAACUGGGGCUAAUACCGGAUAGGAGCUCCUGCUGCAUGGGGGGGGUUGGAAAGUUUCGGCGGUGGGGGAUGGACUCGCGGCUUAUCGGCUUGUUGGUGUGGUAGUGGCUUACCAAGGCUUUGACGGGUAGCCGGCCUGAGAGGGUGACCGGCCACAUUGGGACUGAGGUACGGCCCAGACUGCUACGGGAGGCAGCAGGGGGGAGUAUUGCACAAUGAGCGGGAGCCUGAUGCAGCAACGCCGCGUGCGGGAUGACGGCCUACGGGUUAUGAACCGAUUUCGCCUGUGCCGAGGCGUGAGUGACGGUAAUGGGUCAGGAAGCCCCGGCUAACUACGUG